UAAUACGGAGGGUGCGAGCGUUGUCCGGAUCACUGGGCGUAAAGGGCGCGUAGGUGGCCUGUGGAAGUCUGCGGUGAAAGCCCGGCGCUCAACGCCGGGUCGGCCGUGGAUACUCUCGGGCUCGAGCUCACUAGAGGCAGAUGGAAUUCCGGGUGUAGCGGUGGAAUGCGUAGAGAUCCGGAAGAACACCGGUGGCGAAGGCGGUCUGCUGGGGUGAUGCUGACACUGAUGCGCGACAGCGUGGGGAGCAAACA
RNAcentral lists this ribosomal RNA (254 nucleotides) under uncultured prokaryote. RNAcentral describes it as "partial 16S ribosomal RNA". It matches the Rfam family "Bacterial small subunit ribosomal RNA", at positions 521 to 774 of the family's 1533-position model. The record is from RNAcentral.